AACGAGGUGUGGGCAGUGUAGAAGCCGUCUGUGCCGGAGCAAACGCGAUAAGUUCACCGCCUGGGGAGUACGGUCGCAAGGCUAAAACCCAAAGGAAUUGACGGGGGCCCGCACAAGCAGCGGAGCGUGUGGUUUAAUUCGAUGCAACGCGAAGAACCUUACCUGGGCUUGACAUGUACGUAGUAGUGAAGGGAAACCGGAACGAGCCUUCGGGCAGCGUAGACAGGUGCUGCAUGGCUGUCGUCAGCUCGUGUCGUGAGAUGUUGGGUUAAGUCCCGCAACGAGCGCAACCCGUGUUGCUAGUUACAAGUGUCUAGCGAGACUGCCGGUAACAAGCCGGAGGAAGGUGCGGAUGAUGUCAAGUCAGCAUGGCCUAUAUGUCCAGGGCUACACACACGCUACUAAUGGCUGGUACAAAGAGAAGCGAAAGGGAGACCUGAAGCGAAUCUCAUCAAAGCCUAGUCAUAGUUCGGAUUGCAGGCUGCAACUCGCCUGCAUGAAGUCGGAGUUGCUAGUAACCGCAGGUCAGCAAUACUGCGGUGAAUACGUUCCCGGGCCUUGUACACAC
Molecule: ribosomal RNA, 568 nt
Filed under: uncultured bacterium
Lineage: Bacteria
Description: bacterial SSU rRNA
Rfam family: Bacterial small subunit ribosomal RNA
Source: RNAcentral